RNAcentral lists this ribosomal RNA (333 nucleotides) under uncultured bacterium. RNAcentral describes it as "partial 16S ribosomal RNA". It matches the Rfam family "Bacterial small subunit ribosomal RNA", at positions 338 to 668 of the family's 1533-position model. The record is from RNAcentral.
CCUACGGGUGGCAGCAGUGAGGAAUAUUGGUCAAUGGGCGGAAGCCUGAACCAGCCAAGUAGCGUGCAGGAUGACGGCCCUACGGGUUGUAAACUGCUUUUAUACGGGAAUAACGCGCCUUACGUGUAGGACUUUGCAUGUACCGUAUGAAUAAGGACCGGCUAAUUCCGUGCCAGCAGCCGCGGUAAUACGGAAGGUCCGGGCGUUAUCCGGAUUUAUUGGGUUUAAAGGGAGCGUAGGCCGCAUGUCAAGCGUGCUGUGAAAGGUUCGGGCUCAACCCGGGAAUUGCAGCGCGAACUGGCGGGCUUGAGUCCGGGGAAGGCAGGCGGAAUU